RNAcentral lists this long non-coding RNA (2674 nucleotides) under Vitis vinifera (wine grape). RNAcentral describes it as "long non-coding RNA (VVIN_LNC006167)". Lineage: Eukaryota; Viridiplantae; Streptophyta; Magnoliopsida; Vitales; Vitaceae. The record is from RNAcentral.
GGUAAGGUUGAGUCAAAUGAUUUUAAACAAUAACACCAUUAUAUGCGAUAAAUACAAAUAGAAAUGUUAAAUUAUAAGAAUUUAAAAAGUGUAUCUGUAUCUAUAUCUAUAUCCAUAUAUCCAUAUCUGUGUGUAUUUAUUUAUUUGUACAUCUAAGAAUGUUUUACAUAUUUGAUAUGUGGGUGUCUCACCUUUAUUAUAGUUAUGUUGUUUUCCUUCUACAUUAGUUUGAUUUUAAAAAUUUACUUGUGAACACAUGCAUAUAUUGAUCUAGUUUUGUGUCUGGCAAGUCCAGAAGCUUUUGCUUAUGGUUGAAGGAAUUUUGACUUCCUAACAAGGAUCAGAUCCUUACUGCCUUGCCCAUUAUGAAACUUCAUUAAUUGGACAAAAGAAGGCCUUAGCCACCAAUCUUUAACCUUUACUAUAGGUAGUUUUUUAUUUUUAUUAUUUAUUUAUUUAUUUUUAAUGAAUGAAAGAAAAAAAAGAAAAAGAAAAGAAAAGAAAAGAAAAAGUAAUUCCAAUAUUCAUUUAAGAGAAACAGAAGGCAUUCUCUACCUUCUCUCCAGUCUGUAGUGGUUACAUUUUUAUAUUUGUUAUAUCUUAGGCAUAUAAAAUAGUUUUAACAAUAUAUUCCAUUAACCAUAAUACAACUGCUAGCGUGAUGUACAUUGUGAACUCAUAUUCUAACAACCUUUUUAGGAAAGGUGGUAGUUUAACAUAGUAUCAAAGCUAGAGGUCUCAACUUCAAGUCUCUCUUGCUACUUGUACCAUCUAUUUAUCUACUGCCAAUUUGUAUCUCUACAUGUGAGUAUGAGUCUGUGUGUGUGCAAGGAUGUCAUUUUAUGUAGCUUAGGCAUAUCGAUAGUAUUUUUACGGCUUUAUUCCAAAUUGGACUAUUCAUUUGUGAUAUAUGCAUAUGCAGAGUUUUGGUGUAAUACUCUAUUAGUGUUCUGCACUUCACGGGGGGAAGAAGAAAAGAAAUGGAAAUCUGGAACAGUCCAUAAAAAAUCCUAAUGGAUGUUGGGUUACCAAUUUAAUCCAAAAGCUUAGACUAUUAGGUAAUAUUGGAAGGCUUGUUGCAGGUUAAAGGUUUGUGUUUAUCCAUGCUAAACAUGGAGAUUCUGUUAGUGUCAUAUCUUGGGUGUCUUAUAGGGAAAGAGGCUCAUGGAAAUUUGACUGCUGGUUGCAAGGAAUUCAGAGGUCCUUUGGGACUCUAUAGUUUUCCUUGCUUCCCUUUGGGCUUUCUGUUCCAAGGCAUUUAAGGGGAUCCCCCUUAAUGUGAUUCAAUUGGAUUGGAUAGCGGUGUGUACUCCUUAGGGAUUGGUCCUUAGUGGGUGUUCGUUUAUUUUAUGUGUAUUUCCCUGUAAUUUAGUUGUCUUUGGUUGGAGGAUUUCUCAUCCUUCUUCUUGUACUUCCUUUUUAUAUUAAUAUAUAUUGGUGUCGUUUCCAAUCAAAAAUAAAAUAAAAUUUGACUGCUGGUUCCACAAUAUUCUAGAUGUUUCUGUUGAAGUGGGAUACUCCUUUGGGUUUCUUGCUCAGUUUACCAAGCUAUAGAUUAGUUUUCCAAGUAAGGAGCAAAGCACUUGGUCUCCUUUGUUAGAGACUUCUUUUUCCUCCCUGAGUGUAAAAAGCUUUUGUAGCAUGUGUACAUAGUUUUUCUGCCCAUAGUCUGUUAAGAUAGUUUUAGUUUAGUUUUUGUGGUGUAUCUUGGAAGGAUUGCUUAUCCUCUGUAUUUACCGCUUGAUGUCUGAAUUUGGUCUUUUUCUUUUCCUUUUUUAUUUUUUAUUUUUUAUAAUUUUUAUCAGAGAUUAAUGAAUAUGUUUGUUACAAAUAAAAAAGGUGGUAGUUCAACAAAACAUACUUAGUUAACAUGGGUUUAGGCCCUAAUAUCCUGUCUCACCUGCAUCUUUACCUUGCUUACACAUGGAUUCAAUUAAUGGGGAAAAAUAUACAGAUGUUGAGGUUCAUACUCAUGAAACCUUUGGUACUAUGUUAAACUAAUAAGUCAAUCUAAACGCUUAAACUGUUAGGUAAUGAGCCAAUAAUGUAUAUUAAUCCAACUUGGACUAAAGCCAUAAAAAUGGAAAUCUUCCAUCCCCCAUCCUUCAUAAACAUAGUUGACAUCCUGAAUCUCUUAAUAUUAUUUUUCUGGUUUAACACUAGGAUUAAAGUGUUAUCUUUGCCUUUGACUCUGGAGAAGUAAUGGUGUGUCAAGAAUUUGCCACAGAUGGGUUCAUCUUGUAUGUCCCAUUUCCUUGGGAAGUUGAGGUAGUGAUGGCAUCAACCAGCUUCCAUAGGUUUUGGAAAAUGCAACAAAAAAAUUAAGUUUGAAACAAUUUUAUAGUGUAGCAUAUAUGUUACUAUUAAAUUAUUUUUAGAAGUAGGCAUGUGAAUUCUGAAUGGCUCAAGAAUAUUACCGGUGUUUAAAUUUUGGAAUUUAUGAGAACUUGAUAGUUCUCUCAUUAAGACAAUAUCUAUUCCUCUAUCACAAAAGUUGCAUAUUAAAUUGCUUCACAAUAAAAUUGAAUGAUGAAAGCAAGUUUGUAUCCAGGUCUAAAAUGCCUUAGCAGAUUAACAAUUGCAUGUUUCUUAAUUAUGUCUCUGAGGAAAAAAAUAUUUCUUAAUUAUGUCAUUUGAAAUGUCUCUUUAGUUCAGAAUUAAUUUUAAAUAGUAU